UUAAUUUCUUUUGGUAGGUUU
This 21-nucleotide non-coding RNA is filed under the name Caenorhabditis elegans. Lineage: Eukaryota; Metazoa; Nematoda; Chromadorea; Rhabditida; Rhabditidae. The record is from RNAcentral.